AGCGAACGCUGGCGGCAGGCUUAACACAUGCAAGUCGAGCGGGCAUCCUUGUGGUGUCAGCGGCAGACGGGUGAGUAACGCGUGGGAACGUGCCCUUCGGUUCGGAAUAACUCAGGGAAACUUGAGCUAAUACCGGAUACGUGCGAGAGCAGAAAGGUUUAUCUGCCGAAGGAUCGGCCCGCGUCUGAUUAGCUAGUUGGUGAGGUUACGGCUCACCAAGGCGACGAUCAGUAGCUGGUCUGAGAGGAUGAUCAGCCACACUGGGACUGAGACACGGCCCAGACUCCUACGGGAGGCAGCAGUGAGGAAUAUUGGACAAUGGGGGCAACCCUGAUCCAGCCAUGCCGCGUGAGUGAUGACGGCCUUAGGGUUGUAAAGCUCUUUUCUCCGGGACGAUAAUGACGGUACCGGAGGAAUAAGCCCCGGCUAACUUCGUG
Molecule: ribosomal RNA, 437 nt
Filed under: uncultured bacterium
Lineage: Bacteria
Description: partial 16S ribosomal RNA
Rfam family: Bacterial small subunit ribosomal RNA
Source: RNAcentral